Molecule: non-coding RNA, 516 nt
Organism: Arachis ipaensis
Lineage: Eukaryota; Viridiplantae; Streptophyta; Magnoliopsida; Fabales; Fabaceae
Source: RefSeq, a predicted model, not a curated record
UUCGAGCUCCAUUCCCAAAUCAAACACAAGCUUCUUCCUCUCUCCCUGACACGAGCUACUUCUUCUCUCCAUGGCUGCUACUUCUGCUUCUUCCGCCGCAGCCGUUGCCGCUAUCGCUGCCGCCACCGCUUGCAUCGCACAAUCUCUCUCUGUCAUCCCUUGCAUCGCACGAGAUCCCUCCGCCGCCGCUCUCGUCGCGUCUACUCCCAUCGUUGCAGAGCUCUCUCUGCCGCCGCUCUCAUCGCAUAUGCUCCCUCUGGCGCCUCUUCCAUCUAAUCUCAACUCGCUCUCUCAGUUCUUCUCGUAACGAUCUCAAAUUUCAGUGUUACAGCUCAAGAUCUUGUUGACAUUAUGCUUCUAAAUUUGCUUCUAAAUUUCUGAUAUCUUCACUCUUAACGAUGGAUCUGUAACGCCUCUACUCAAGAGCAUGACAGUGCAUAAUAUAUAUGUUGGAGAGGGUUCAGACUUCCAAUGUAAUAUAUAAAAGGGUGGCUAAGCAGCAGGGUUCUCUUGGUG